AAGAAUGACAUGUUGAGAUUGAAAAACAUGAUGUGAAUGUUAGCGACUUGGGGCGGGGCUUUUGCUCUCAAUGAAUGGAAAAGCCGGGGGUUUGGAGUCACUGACGAACAAUCCCAAGCUUAAUUGUG
Non-coding RNA from Caenorhabditis elegans, 128 nucleotides. NCBI's taxonomy places the organism in Eukaryota, Metazoa, Nematoda, Chromadorea, Rhabditida, Rhabditidae. The record is from Ensembl.